Molecule: ribosomal RNA, 532 nt
Filed under: uncultured Gammaproteobacteria bacterium
Lineage: Bacteria; Pseudomonadati; Pseudomonadota; Gammaproteobacteria
Description: bacterial SSU rRNA
Rfam family: Bacterial small subunit ribosomal RNA
Source: RNAcentral
UAAAGGCUCACCUAGGCGACGAUCCAUAGCUGAUCUGAGAGGAUGACCAGCCACACUGGAACUGAGACACGGUCCAGACUCCUACGGGAGGCAGCAGUGGGGAAUAUUGCACAAUGGGCGCAAGCCUGACGCAGCCAUGCCGCGUGUAUGAAGAAGGCCUUCGGGUGUAAAGUAUCUUUCAGCGGGGAGGAAGGGAGUAGAGUUAAUACGUAUGUUCAUUGACGUUAUCCGCAGAAGAAGCACCGGCUAACUCCGUGCCAGCAGCCGCGGUAAUACGGUAGGGUGCAAGCGUUGAUCGGAAUUACUGGGCGUAAAGCGCACGCAGGCGGUUUGUUAAGUCAGAUGUGAAAUCCCCGGGCUCAACCUGGGAGGUUCAUUUGAUACUGGCAAGACUUGAGUGUAGUAGAGGGGGGUAGAAUUCCAGGUGUAGCGGUGAAAUGCGUAGAGUAUAUGGAGGAAUCACCGGUGGCGAAGGCGGCCCCUCUGGAUCGAAGACUGACGCUCAGGUGUCGAAGCGCGGGGAGCAAACAGG